GAUGAACGCUGGCGGCGUGCCUAAUACAUGCAAGUCGAGCGAACGGACGAGAAGCUUGCUUCUCUGAUGUUAGCGGCGGACGGGUGAGUAACACGUGGAUAACCUACCUAUAAGACUGGGAUAACUUCGGGAAACCGGAGCUAAUACCGGAUGAUAUUUUGAACCGCAUGGUUCAAAAGUGAAAGACGGUCUUGCUGUCACGUAUAGAUGGAUCCGCGCUGCAUUAGCUAGUUGGUAAGGUAACGGCUUACCAAGGCAACGAUGCAUAGCCGACCUGAGAGGGGGAUCGGCCACACUGGAACUGAGACACGGUCCAGACUCCUACGGGAGGCAGCAGUAGGGAAUCUUCCGCAAUGGGCGAAAGCCUGACGGAGCAACGCCGCGUGAGUGAUGAAGGUCUUCGGAUCGUAAAACUCUGUUACUAGGGAAGAACAUAUGUGUAAGUAACUGUGCACAUCUUGACGGUACCUAAUCAGAAAGCCACGGCUAACUACGUG
RNAcentral lists this ribosomal RNA (497 nucleotides) under uncultured bacterium. Its description in RNAcentral is "partial 16S ribosomal RNA". It matches the Rfam family "Bacterial small subunit ribosomal RNA", at positions 28 to 507 of the family's 1533-position model. The record is from RNAcentral.